UCCGUCUUGACGACGGCAGUCUCUCUGGAGUGCCCAACUUAAUGAUGGCAACCAAAGACAAGGGUUGCGCUCGUUGCGGGACUUAACCCAACAUUUCACAACACGAGCUGACGACAGCCAUGCAGCACCUGUCUCCUCUGUCUCUUGCGAGCCUAUUCCUAUCUCUAGGUAUAUUCAAAGGGAUGUCAAACCCAGGUAAGGUUCUUCGCGUUGCUUCGAAUUAAACCACAUGAUCCACCGCUUGUGCGGGCCCCCGUCAAUUCCUUUGAGUUUUAGUCUUGCGACCGUACUUCCCAGGCGGGAUGCUUAUCGUGUUAACUUCGACACAGUAGGGGUCAAGUCCCACUACGUCUAGCAUCCAUCGUUUACAGCGUGGACUAC
This 381-nucleotide unclassified non-coding RNA is filed under the name uncultured Oligoflexales bacterium. RNAcentral's name for it is "contains 16S-23S intergenic spacer region". Lineage: Bacteria; Pseudomonadati; Bdellovibrionota; Oligoflexia; Oligoflexales. The record is from RNAcentral.